RNAcentral lists this long non-coding RNA (1703 nucleotides) under Fukomys damarensis (Damara mole-rat). RNAcentral describes it as "lncRNA (ENSFDAG00000029982.1)". The record is from RNAcentral. Lineage: Eukaryota; Metazoa; Chordata; Mammalia; Rodentia; Bathyergidae.
GUGUGGGUGACAAGCGUUUUUAUGGCACAUUGGAGCUACUCCUAGGCAGACUAUAAAUAGCAACCUGCCCCUCCCUGGGCCUCUCCCAGCCCCCGUGGAACUGGAUGACGACUGCUGUGGAGCUCCAUGAACUUCGCAGUGUCCUUGCCCUUUGCUGUGACCACACAACUUUCUGAGCAGAGCAGGAACGGGUAUGGAGAACCCCAGACACCAGACACAGCAGCCUCUGAAAUCGAAGCUCAUUCUGCUGUACAGAUCAUCACACGGACACCACAGUACCAGCUCCCCUCCCUGAGCCAGUCAGGUUGACGGUGGAACCCUCUCUUUCACCAUUUGGUUAAAUGCCAACCUGGGCCACUGGUUCCCCUAGACCCAGGGUUCUGCUCUUUCCACGAGUGGCGGCCAGAGGUGAGAGGAAGAUUCCGAGCAGGGCACCAGGGCUGGCCGUUGCCUUGGCAACUUGUCAUGAAGUCUCAGUGUGGACAGCUGAGUGGUGCUCUGCAGAGUGAAUACUGUUUCCUGUGUGUAUUCAUUCAACCCAUGCAACAGUGCUAUUAAACUAGGCGUCUGACCUGCCCACAGGCGGAGAAUGGAGGCUGGUGGUGUGUGUGCCUAACACUGUCACCGCACCGUGGGCAAGGCCUGCUCUUAGGGUCAUCCGCUCCAGCCUGUGUUUAUCACUGCACAGAGCAGCACAGAGAAAUGUCACAGAUGAAGCGUGUCAGGGAAGACAGCAAGCUUCUGCCCAGCUGGGAGGAAAACAAGAGAGGAGUGGAGGUUGGCUGGGGAUGAAAAUAGAUUUGCUUCUGAACCACACAGGGGAAAUCGGGGAAGGCAAGAAAGAAAAAGAGAAGAGGAGCAAAGGUAGGAUGUGUUUCAGAUCUAUAAGAAAGUGUCCAGACCAGGUCAGCUCGUGGAUUCCUUAGAAAGCUGAGAAGCCUGCUCACCAGGCAAGGGCCUCCUGCACAUGGGGCCCGGGCCACCUCACCUUUGUGACCUCUCCUGUGUUGAAGAGGGAUCAGUGAAACCAGAUUCCUCUGCCCGCCUCUCGCGGGGUGUACUCGCACUCCCAGCUCUGUCCCCUCAAGGGCAGAUAACCAGCUCUCAGGAGGUGACUCACACGGUGGUAUAAAUUACCUGUGUUGACAUAGCUAGUGUGUUACCUCGGAGCAGAUUGUGCCUUCGAGAGACGGGCAGCCUUUGUCCAAGUCAAUGACACUCUGCUCUCGGGCCCCCGGGGCCGGAGGAGCAGCGGUGUGUGCUGGUGGGGGUGGCCCCUGAGACAGCCCACUGCCUCUGGGCACUGGCUCCACCUGCCCUCCUAGAUGUGUUUGCUGGGGUCUUCUCUCCGCCCAGUGCAACUCCUUUGAGACUAGUACUGUCCACCUUCCUACCUCUGCUCAGGGACUGGAUAGGGCUUGGGCUAUAGCAGAUACUACUUUUUAAAAUGCUUGUUAACUGACUACUUGAUGAAUAGUGUCUCUGUCAAGUCCCCUACGGCACAGAACUGAUAACCUGAGGAAGAGAAGGGGAGACCAGAAAGCCUGAAAUAUAAAAAUAAAGAACACUUUACGUGAGUACAUGCUGUUGAAAAAUUAAAUGUGGGUAAGCCAAAGUAAAAUUUAAAAAGCACAUGCGAUUCUCUCCUCAGGUUCAAUUAUUGUUAACAUAGUGCUGUAAACUCAUCCGGAUUUAUAUCUGUG